RNAcentral lists this ribosomal RNA (253 nucleotides) under uncultured bacterium. RNAcentral's name for it is "partial 16S ribosomal RNA". It matches the Rfam family "Bacterial small subunit ribosomal RNA", at positions 524 to 776 of the family's 1533-position model. The record is from RNAcentral.
GACAGAGGUGCCAAGCGUUAGGCGGAAUCACUGGGCUUAAAGCGUGUGUAGGCGGACCGUUAAGUGCCUUGUGAAAUCCCAUGGCUCAACCAUGGAACUGCUGGGCAUACUGGCGGUCUUGAGUCACCCAGGGGUUGCCGGAACAAAUGGUGGAGCGGUGAAAUGCGUAGAUAUCAGGAGGAACACCGGUGGCGAAGGCGGGUCUCUGGGCCGAUACUGACGCUGAGGAGCGAAAGCGUGGGGAGCGAACAGG